GACGAACGCUGGCGGCGUGCUUAACACAUGCAAGUCGAACGGAAAGGCCCUGCUUUUGUGGGGUGCUCGAGUGGCGAACGGGUGAGUAACACGUGAGUAACCUGCCCUUGACUUUGGGAUAACUUCAGGAAACUGGGGCUAAUACCGGAUAGGAGCUCCUGCUGCAUGGUGGGGGUUGGAAAGUUUCGGCGGUUGGGGAUGGACUCGCGGCUUAUCAGCUUGUUGGUGGGGUAGUGGCUUACCAAGGCUUUGACGGGUAGCCGGCCUGAGAGGGUGACCGGCCAAAUGGGGAAUGGAAACCGGCCAAGACCCCUAGGGGGGGCAGGAGGGGGGAAUUUUCCAAAAGGGGCGGAAGCCUGGCGAAGCAACGCCGGGGGCGGGAUGGCGGCCUUGGGGUUGUAAACCGCUUUCGCGUGUGACGAAGCGGGAGGAACGGAAAUGGGAAAAGAAGCACCGGUAAACUACGG
This 467-nucleotide ribosomal RNA is filed under the name uncultured bacterium. Its description in RNAcentral is "partial 16S ribosomal RNA". It matches the Rfam family "Bacterial small subunit ribosomal RNA", at positions 28 to 506 of the family's 1533-position model. The record is from RNAcentral.